CCUACGGGGGGCAGCAGUGGGGAAUUUUGGACAAUGGGCGCAAGCCUGAUCCAGCUAUUCCGCGUGUGGGAAGACGGCCUUCGGGUUGUAAACCACUUUUGUAGAGAACGAAAAGUCUGUUGAUAAUACCGAUAGAUGAUGACGGUACUCUAAGAAUAAGCACCGGCUAACUACGUGCCAGCAGCCGCGGUAAUACGGAGGAUGCGAGCGUUAUCCGGAUUUAUUGGGUUUAAAGGGUGCGUAGGCGGAAUGCCAAGUCAGCGGUAAAAUCGCGGGGCUCAACCUCGCUCCGCCGUUGAAACUGGCGUUCUUGAGUGGGCGAGAAGUAUGCGGAAUGCGUGGUGUAGCGGUGAAAUGCAUAGAUAUCACGCAGAACUCCGAUUGCGAAGGCAGCAUACCGGCGCCCAACUGACGCUGAAGCACGAAAGCGUGGGUAUCGAACAGGAUUAGAUACCCGUGUAGUC
RNAcentral lists this ribosomal RNA (464 nucleotides) under uncultured bacterium. RNAcentral's name for it is "partial 16S ribosomal RNA". It matches the Rfam family "Bacterial small subunit ribosomal RNA", at positions 338 to 795 of the family's 1533-position model. The record is from RNAcentral.